CGGGGCGUGGCUCAGCUGGUAGAGCGCUCGCUUUGGGAGCGAGAGGUCGCUGGUUCAAAUCCAGUCGCCCCGA
RNAcentral lists this transfer RNA (73 nucleotides) under Patescibacteria group bacterium. RNAcentral's name for it is "tRNA-Pro". It matches the Rfam family "tRNA". Rfam says of the family: Transfer RNA (tRNA) molecules are approximately 80 nucleotides in length. Their secondary structure includes four short double-helical elements and three loops (D, anti-codon, and T loops). The record is from RNAcentral.